AUCCCGUGUUGUGGGCAUGAACUAACAAGAUCCUUGAACUACCCCCAACAUUGAAAGAAUGUUUCAUCUUCCUUUUGGGUAAAGUUUAUGAUUGACUUUCUGAUAGU
Small nucleolar RNA from Magnolia sinica, 107 nucleotides. The record is from RefSeq and is a predicted model, not a curated record. Lineage: Eukaryota; Viridiplantae; Streptophyta; Magnoliopsida; Magnoliales; Magnoliaceae.